GGGAAGGUGGCUCAGAGGUAGAGUGCUUGCCUUGCAUGCAUGAGACCCUGGGUUCAAUUCCCCAGUGCCA
RNAcentral lists this transfer RNA (70 nucleotides) under Dipodomys ordii (Ord's kangaroo rat). It matches the Rfam family "tRNA". Rfam says of the family: Transfer RNA (tRNA) molecules are approximately 80 nucleotides in length. The record is from Rfam by way of RNAcentral. Lineage: Eukaryota; Metazoa; Chordata; Mammalia; Rodentia; Heteromyidae.